RNAcentral lists this ribosomal RNA (1018 nucleotides) under uncultured bacterium. RNAcentral's name for it is "bacterial SSU rRNA". It matches the Rfam family "Bacterial small subunit ribosomal RNA", at positions 357 to 1376 of the family's 1533-position model. The record is from RNAcentral.
AGGAAUAUUGGUCAAUGGACGAGAGUCUGAACCAGCCAAGUAGCGUGAAGGAUGAAGGUUCUAUGGAUUGUAAACUUCUUUUAUACGGGAAUAAACGGAUCCACGUGUGGAUUUUUGCAUGUACCGUAUGAAUAAGGAUCGGCUAACUCCGUGCCAGCAGCCGCGGUAAUACGGAGGAUCCGAGCGUUAUCCGGAUUUAUUGGGUUUAAAGGGAGCGUAGAUGGGUUGUUAAGUCAGUUGUGAAAGUUUGCGGCUCAACCGUAAAAUUGCAAUUGAUACUGGCAGUCUUGAGUACAGUUGAGGUAGGCGGAAUUCGUGGUGUAGCGGUGAAAUGCUUAGAUAUCACGAAGAACUCCGAUUGCGAAGGCAGCUUACUAACCUGUAACUGACAUUGAUGCUCGAAAGUGUGGGUAUCAAACAGGAUUAGAUACCCUGGUAGUCCACACGGUAAACGAUGAAUACUCGCUGUAGGCGAUAUACAGUCUGCGGCCAAGCGAAAGCAUUAAGUAUUCCACCUGGGGAGUACGCCGGCAACGGUGAAACUCAAAGGAAUUGACGGGGGCCCGCACAAGCGGAGGAACAUGUGGUUUAAUUCGAUGAUACGCGAGGAACCUUACCCGGGCUUAAAUUGCAACCGAAUAUGGCGGAAACGCUAUAGCUAGCAAUAGCGGUUGUGAAGGUGCUGCAUGGUUGUCGUCAGCUCGUGCCGUGAGGUGUCGGCUUAAGUGCCAUAACGAGCGCAACCCUUGCCGAUAGUUACUAACAGGUUAUGCUGAGGACUCUGUCGGGACUGCCAUCGUAAGAUGUGAGGAAGGUGGGGAUGACGUCAAAUCAGCACGGCCCUUACGUCCGGGGCUACACACGUGUUACAAUGGGGGGUACAGAGGGCUGCUACCACGCAAGUGGAUGCCAAUCCCAAAAACCUCUCUCAGUUCGGACUGGAGUCUGCAACCCGACUCCACGAAGCUGGAUUCGCUAGUAAUCGCGCAUCAGCCACGGCGCGGUGAAUACGUUCCCG